AGGGUUUGAUCCUGGCUCAGAUUGAACGCUGGCGGCAGGCCUAACACAUGCAAGUCGAGCGGAUGACGGGAGCUUGCUCCUGAAUUCAGCGGCGGACGGGUGAGUAAUGCCUAGGAAUCUGCCUGGUAGUGGGGGACAACGUCUCGAAAGGGACGCUAAUACCGCAUACGUCCUACGGGAGAAAGCAGGGGACCUUCGGGCCUUGCGCUAUCAGAUGAGCCUAGGUCGGAUUAGCUAGUUGGUGAGGUAAUGGCUCACCAAGGCGACGAUCCGUAACUGGUCUGAGAGGAUGAUCAGUCACACUGGAACUGAGACACGGUCCAGACUCCUACGGGAGGCAGCAGUGGGGAAUAUUGGACAAUGGGCGAAAGCCUGAUCCAGCCAUGCCGCGUGUGUGAAGAAGGUCUUCGGAUUGUAAAGCACUUUAAGUUGGGAGGAAGGGCAUUAACCUAAUACGUUAGUGUUUUGACGUUACCGACAGAAUAAGCACCGGCUAACUCUGUGCCAGCAGCCGCGGUAAUACAGAGGGUGCAAGCGUUAAUCGGAAUUACUGGGCGUAAAGCGCGCGUAGGUGGUUUGUUAAGUUGGAUGUGAAAGCCCCGGGCUCAACCUGGGAACUACAUUCAAAACUGACAAGCUAGAGUAUGGUAGAGGGUGGUGGAAUUUCCUGUGUAGCGGUGAAAUGCGUAGAUAUAGGAAGGAACACCAGUGGCGAAGGCGACCACCUGGACUGAUACUGACACCGAGGUGCGAAAGCGUGGGGAGCAAACAGGAUUAGAUACCCUGGUAGUCCACGCCGUAAACGAUGUCAACUAGCCGUUGGGAGCCUUGAGCUCUUAGUGGCGCAGCUAACGCAUUAAGUUGACCGCCUGGGGAGUACGGCCGCAAGG
Molecule: ribosomal RNA, 890 nt
Filed under: uncultured Gammaproteobacteria bacterium
Lineage: Bacteria; Pseudomonadati; Pseudomonadota; Gammaproteobacteria
Description: bacterial SSU rRNA
Rfam family: Bacterial small subunit ribosomal RNA
Source: RNAcentral